This 374-nucleotide ribosomal RNA is filed under the name uncultured organism. Its description in RNAcentral is "partial 16S ribosomal RNA". It matches the Rfam family "Bacterial small subunit ribosomal RNA", at positions 527 to 896 of the family's 1533-position model. The record is from RNAcentral.
GUAGGUGGCAAGCGUUGUCCGGAAUUAUUGGGCGUAAAGCGCGCGCAGGGCGGUCCUUUAAGUCUGAUGUGAAAGCCCACGGCUCAACCGUGGAGGGUCAUUGGAAACUGGGGGACUUGAGUACAGAAGAGGAAAGCGGAAUUCCAAGUGUAGCGGUGAAAUGCGUAGAGAUUUGGAGGAACACCAGUGGCGAAGGCGGCUUUCUGGUCUGUAACUGACGCUGAGGCGCGAAAGCGUGGGGAGCAAACAGGAUUAGAUACCCUGGUAGUCCACGCCGUAAACGAUGAGUGCUAAGUGUUAGGGGGGUUUCCGCCCCCUUAGUGCUGCAGCUAACGCAUUAAGCACUCCGCCUGGGGAGUACGGCCGCAAGGCUG